Long non-coding RNA from Pipra filicauda (Wire-tailed manakin), 533 nucleotides. RefSeq lists it as uncharacterized. The record is from RefSeq and is a predicted model, not a curated record. NCBI's taxonomy places the organism in Eukaryota, Metazoa, Chordata, Aves, Passeriformes, Pipridae. The transcript has 3 exons.
CCCAGAGUGGUGAAGUGAGUUGCUACCUUAUUUCUGAAGCACUAGUUUUGUGCCUGUUGUCUGUGGGGCCUUGUUGCCCAGUUCUGAGGCCCAAUUAUGAAAGAUUUUGGACACCUUGGAGGUUAAGCGUGAUCAAAGCAUGGAAUGCCAAGCUGAGCUAGAGAGGGUGCCUCCAAUUCACAGCCUUUGGUUGUAGCUGGACAGUUUUCAAGAGUGAUUUUCCUGAGGAGCAAGAUGUGUUGAGAGAAAUAAGGAGGGACUGAAAUCCUUGUAUUUUGAACCCAGAAGUGUACCUGAGACAUAAGAGAAGAAUGCAGAUUAAAACUAAAACAUACAUUCAGCUUGCACUGUAAUAGGUAUGGUAUCAUUGAAUUAAUGAAAAUUAUCCUCUGUUUUACAGAUAUUUGCCUCCAGCAAGAAAGGUAUAUGGGUUGUUUCGUUCUUUUUUAAUGUAAAGUUAGACCACUUGGCUAUAUGACUUCAGCCAAAUCAUGCAGCCAGCAUCAUUCCAUGUAUUACCGAGAAGUCUUUCA